GACGAACGCUGGCGGCGUGCCUAAUACAUGCAAGUCGAACGCAGUGGGGACGGGUGAGUAACACGUGGGUAACCUCCCAUCAGAGGGGAUAACACUUGGAAACAGGUGCUAAACCGAUACUGAUGGAUGGACCCGCGGUGCAGUAGCUAGUUGGUGAGGUAACGGCUCACCAAGGCCACGAUGCAUCGAGGAUCGGAGAGGGUGAUCGGCCACAUGGGGACUGAGAGACGGCCCAGAAUCCUACGGGAGGCAGCAGUAGGGAAUCUGCGGAAAUGGACGAAAGUCUGACCGAGCAACGCCGCGUGAGUGAAGAAGGUUUUCGGAUCGUAAAGCUCUGUUGUUAGAGAAGCGGUAUCUAACCAGAAAGCCACGGCUAACUACGUGCCAGCAGCCGCGGUAAUUC
RNAcentral lists this ribosomal RNA (403 nucleotides) under uncultured bacterium. RNAcentral's name for it is "partial 16S ribosomal RNA". It matches the Rfam family "Bacterial small subunit ribosomal RNA", at positions 28 to 526 of the family's 1533-position model. The record is from RNAcentral.